UACGGAGGGGACUAGCGUUGUUCGGAAUUACUGGGCGUAAAGCGCACGUAGGCGGAUUUGUAAGUCAGGGGUGAAAUCCCGAGGCUCAACCUCGGAACUGCCUUUGAUACUGCGAAUCUCGAGUCCGGAAGAGGUGAGUGGAAUUCCUAGUGUAGGGGUGAAAUUCGUAGAUAUUAGGAAGAACACCAGUGGCGAAGGCGGCUCACUGGUCCGGUACUGACGCUGAGGUGCGAAAGCGUGGGGAGCAAACAGG
This 253-nucleotide ribosomal RNA is filed under the name uncultured bacterium. Its description in RNAcentral is "partial 16S ribosomal RNA". It matches the Rfam family "Bacterial small subunit ribosomal RNA", at positions 524 to 776 of the family's 1533-position model. The record is from RNAcentral.